GGGGAUGAACGGUUUCGACUUUGGUAGUCGAAAUGGGAGAAGCGAGCCGAGAAUGUUGGUCAUCUCGUAAACGUCCAGCAAAACCAAUAAGUGCCAAAUCAAACCGCACUGACUUCGCUCUCGCUGCUUAAUCGCACGAGCCCGAGUCCAUCAGCCUAGAGGCGUUCCUGCUCUAGACCCUGGUGUUAUUUAAGGAACUUACUAAGAGCUUCGGUUACGGAAGCUUGAAGGAAAUCAAACAGUAGCUGUGCCUGUCGACAUCUUGUUUGCAUGAAUGUCGGGGCAGAGAAAAACAAACGCAAACUGCGCUCGGAGAAUAACCAAAUCUUCACCUAAGGACCCGGGUUCGAUUCCCGGCAUCUCCACCA
RNAcentral lists this transfer-messenger RNA (368 nucleotides) under Actinomycetota bacterium. RNAcentral describes it as "Actinobacteria bacterium transfer-messenger RNA". It matches the Rfam family "transfer-messenger RNA". From Rfam's summary of the family: Bacterial tmRNA, also known as 10Sa RNA or SsrA, is named for its dual tRNA and mRNA-like properties. Its role is to liberate the mRNA from a stalled ribosome. The record is from RNAcentral. RNAcentral also lists the same sequence under 1 other name. Lineage: Bacteria; Bacillati; Actinomycetota.